This is a long non-coding RNA of Scatophagus argus, 2567 nucleotides long. RefSeq lists it as uncharacterized. Lineage: Eukaryota; Metazoa; Chordata; Actinopteri; Scatophagidae. The transcript is spliced from 3 exons. The record is from RefSeq and is a predicted model, not a curated record.
ACAUGGACAUGGGGCUCAUGACCACAGAACAAUAAGCUCCUUUGGACAUGGGCAGGAAGGGGAGCAUGAAGGUACUUCCUUCAGCCAUAUGAGCUGUAGUUUUAUGCUCUCGUAGUUGACCUUUAGAAAACUGCAUCCAAAUUUUCGCUUUUUAUGUUGAUGGAAACUGUGGUUUUUUAGUCUCCCACAAGUCUGAGGGACAUGGACAUGAGACUCACGGCCACAGAACAGUAAGCUCCUCUGGACACGGGCAGGAAAGGGAGGAGGAGCAUGAAGUCUCCCACAAGUCUGAGGGACAUGGACAUGAGACCCACGGCCAUAGAACAAUAAGCUCCUCUGGACAUGGGUGGGAAAGGGAGCAUGAAGUCUUCCACAAGCCUGAGGGACAUGGACAUGAGACCCAUGGCCACAGAACAAUAAGCUCCUCUGGACAUGGGCAGGAACGGGAGCACGAAGGUACACCCUUCAGCCAUAUGUGCUGUAGUUUUGCAUUCUUAUAGUUGAGCUGUAGAGAAUUACAUCCAAAUUUUUGCUUCUUAUGUUGACGGAAACUGUGGCGUUUCAGUUGCCCACAAGUCUCAGGGACAUGGACAUGAGACUCAUGGCCACAGAACAACAUCCUCAUCUGGACACUGGGGAGAGCAGCAUCAAGAAAGAAAAGGUAUCCAUGUUGUACCUGCUUGCUCACAAGCUGAACGUGAGAACUGCACUCAAGCUGAUCCAAAUUCACGUAUUUGUAUCUGUCCACCAAUAUAGUAGACUGUUGGUCAACUCAUUUUGCUUUCUGUAGAAUAAAUGCAAAAUUUUAUUUGAGACUCAAGAUAAGGGCAAGAAAAGAAAAAGAGCAAAUAAACAAGACUGGGUUCAAGGCCAGAGCAGGCUGUGACUGGUCAAAGCGAUAUUGUGGCUGAACUGUCAUGUGGACACUCAGUGGUGCCGUCUAUAAUGCGACAUAAAAUGUUCAGUUUUCUGUCAUGGCCCCAGUAAUAUCUGUUCUUAAAGUGUACCGAAGUGAUUGAGCUGGGUUAACUGCAGUUACUUUCCACUCAUAUCUCAGGAUGUUUGAUUUAAAAAAACUUAUUCUAACUCUUAUAAUUAUCUGUUAACUCUCCCAGCUCUUUCAUCUGCGAGUCUGUAUCUCGUUUUUAUAUGACUCACUCUGUUGUUGGGGGUGCUUUCACUGCACUCCGGAGAGAUGUUUUCUCUCGCGCUCUGAUCCAUGCUGGUCUGCUACAGCAGAGAUGCAGUUUCACUCCCUCAUGGUGAACAUUAGGCAUUGGACCUUAGAGUCAGUGCAGUUAAGGCUGCUGAAGUUGCAUUUGCACCUUCUUGUUUUGAAAGACAAAUGGCCAGCGGGAAACCUCCAGCGUGAUCCGAACCCUGAGGCAGCUUCAGGUCAGUCAGGGACAGACUUUCACGUUUAACGGGCUGGCCAACUUUGUUGUGCUCUGGCCAGAAACCACAAGGCAGAUAUUGUUGAAUUAUUGUUUAAUUUGUCGAGGAAAAAAGAGCAUAAAUAACUUUCCUCACAUGAUGCAUUUGCUUGAUGUGGUGUGACAGUCCCCUACAAGUCUGAGGGACACGUACAUGCGACUCAUGGCCACAAAACCUCAUCUGAGUACGGGGAGGGAAGAAAAGAUGAAAGGAAAGGUAUCCGUUUCAUGUGUGCUGGUGGCAACAUUUUCAUAAAAUAAAAUAUCCCUCAUUAUUUUUUUGUCAUUGUCACUGACGAGUGCGGUGUUUCAGCCUCCCAUAUCUUUGACGGACACGUUCUCGAGACUCAUGGCCACAAAACCUCAUCUGUACAUGGGGAGGAAAGAGAGGAAGAGGAGGAACAUAAAGAAAGAAAAGCUGAAAGGAGAGGUAUCUCUUUUAUAUGUAGGGGUGCCAGUGUUAGGGUAGCUGUUCAUAUAUUCAGUAGUUCAUUUGUGGUGGAGUAAAUAAGCAGAAGAUAAAUUCUCACCAUGUGUUAAAGUUGGCAGCUCACAGUGAAAAAUAGAAACUGGAAACAACAAACGCAUCUAAAUUUAUCUCUAACUACAUGAAAGCUUGUCAGUCAAAAUACGCUAUAGGCUAAAUAUUGAAGCGCCUUGUGUUUAUGAUGAAUGAAACUGCAGGGUAAAAAACAGUAGAAGAUGAAUUUGACAUUAAAAAUGCUCUUGAUUUAAAAAUCUUGUUUCUGUGUUCAGAAUAAUGCUUUUUAAAUACCCUCACGUGUCAGAGCAUUUUAGGUUUUCUGACAUUUAAAGAUACUUUUUAAAUGAAGAAAUAAAGCCUUUAGUGUUCUGUAAAUACCCAUAAGCAUCUAACAUUAGUCAGUUACAUCAAAAUAUGUGAACAGGAUCUAUACUACCAGAGGUUUCUCACAAAUCGUUGGAUGUUGCCGUCUCAUCGGCGCUCGUUUGGUAAAACAGCCCGAGAUUGUCUGCAUGACGGCAAUACAGAUUGAUUUGCGAGUUGUUGCUCCCGUGUAGCGCACCAAGUCGAGAGGGAAAGUCGGGGACACGAGACAUCAGGACACACUGACGGGACAGAGGAUGAGGAGAGAGAAGAGAGAGAACGAGAGA